Molecule: transfer RNA, 75 nt
Filed under: Candidatus Woesearchaeota archaeon
Lineage: Archaea; Nanobdellati; Candidatus Woesearchaeota
Description: tRNA-Arg
Rfam family: tRNA
About the family: Transfer RNA (tRNA) molecules are approximately 80 nucleotides in length. Their secondary structure includes four short double-helical elements and three loops (D, anti-codon, and T loops). Further hydrogen bonds mediate the characteristic L-shaped molecular structure. tRNAs have two regions of fundamental functional importance: the anti-codon, which is responsible for specific mRNA codon recognition, and the 3' end, to which the tRNAs corresponding amino acid is attached (by aminoacyl-tRNA synthetases). tRNAs cope with the degeneracy of the genetic code in two manners: having more than one tRNA (with a specific anti-codon) for a particular amino acid; and 'wobble' base-pairing, i.e. permitting non-standard base-pairing at the 3rd anti-codon position.
Source: RNAcentral
GCCCCUGUAGUUUAGCUUGGAUAGAAUACAAGGUUGCGGACCUUGAGAUCCCAGGUUCAAAUCCUGGCAGGGGCA